This 806-nucleotide ribosomal RNA is filed under the name uncultured Cortinarius. Its description in RNAcentral is "eukaryotic LSU rRNA". The stretch from base 253 to 406 matches the Rfam family "5.8S ribosomal RNA". The record is from RNAcentral. Lineage: Eukaryota; Fungi; Basidiomycota; Agaricomycetes; Agaricales; Cortinariaceae.
CUGCGGAAGGAUCAUUAUUGAAAUAAACUUGAUAGGUUGCUGCUGGUUCUUUAAUGGACAUGUGCACGCCUGUCAUCUUUGUAUCUCCACCUGUGCACCUUUUGUAGACCUAGACAAGUUUCUUAAUGCUAGCAUUAAGGUUUUGGGAUUGACUUUUGUCUUUCCUUAUAUUUCUGGGUCUAUGUUUAUUCAUAUACCCUAAUGUAUGUAAUAGAAUGUAUUAAAUGGGCCUCUGUGCCUAUAACACUAUACAACUUUCAGCAACGGAUCUCUUGGCUCCCGCAUCGAUGAAGAACGCAGCGAAAUGCGAUAAGUAAUGUGAAUUGCAGAAUUCAGUGAAUCAUCGAAUCUUUGAACGCACCUUGCGCUCCUUGGUAUUCCGAGGAGCAUGCCUGUUUGAGUGUCAUUAAUAUAUCAACCUCUUCAGCUUUUGCUUGUUGAGUGCUGGAUGUGGGGGUCUUUUUGCUGGUCUUUUAAAAGAUCAGCUCCCCUAAAAUAUAUUAGCGGAACAAUUUGCUGACCGUUCAUUGGUGUGAUAAUUAUCUAUGCUAUUGACGUGAAGCAGUUCAGCUUCUAACAGUCCAUUGACUUGGACAAUUUUAUUUAUUAAUGUGACCUCAAAUCAGGUAGGACUACCCGCUGAACUUAAGCAUAUCAAUAAGCGGAGGAAAAGAAACUAACAAGGAUUCCCCUAGUAACUGCGAGUGAAGCGGGAAAAGCUCAAAUUUAAAAUCUGUCAGUCUUUGGCUGUCCGAGUUGUAAUCUAGAGAAGUGUUAUCUGCGCUGGACCGUGUACAAGUCUCCUG